RNAcentral lists this ribosomal RNA (2947 nucleotides) under Salmonella enterica subsp. enterica serovar Chester. Its description in RNAcentral is "partial 23S ribosomal RNA". It matches the Rfam family "Bacterial large subunit ribosomal RNA". Lineage: Bacteria; Pseudomonadati; Pseudomonadota; Gammaproteobacteria; Enterobacterales; Enterobacteriaceae. The record is from RNAcentral.
AUCUGCGAUAAGCGCCGGUAAGGUGAUAUGAACCGUUAUAACCGGCGAUACCCGAAUGGGGAAACCCAGUGUGACUCGUCACACUAUCAUUAACUGAAUCCAUAGGUUAAUGAGGCGAACCGGGGGAACUGAAACAUCUAAGUACCCCGAGGAAAAGAAAUCAACCGAGAUUCCCCCAGUAGCGGCGAGCGAACGGGGAGGAGCCCAGAGCCUGAAUCAGCAUGUGUGUUAGUGGAAGCGUCUGGAAAGGCGCGCGAUACAGGGUGACAGCCCCGUACACAAAAGCGCAUGUGCUGUGAGCUCGAUGAGUAGGGCGGGACACGUGGUAUCCUGUCUGAAUAUGGGGGGACCAUCCUCCAAGGCUAAAUACUCCUGACUGACCGAUAGUGAACCAGUACCGUGAGGGAAAGGCGAAAAGAACCCCGGCGAGGGGAGUGAAAAAGAACCUGAAACCGUGUACGUACAAGCAGUGGGAGCCCCACCACUAAGCCAGUGGUGAACUCCACAUACGCAUCCUUUGCUGAGGAUACGGUUAACGGAGCGAAAGCGACGUUCAACCGCAAAAGAAGCAGAGGGGGCUUAGUGGUGGGGUGACUGCGUACCUUUUGUAUAAUGGGUCAGCGACUUAUAUUCUGUAGCAAGGUUAACCGUAUAGGGGAGCCGGAGGGAAACCGAGUCUUAAUUGGGCGUUAAGUUGCAGGGUAUAGACCCGAAACCCGGUGAUCUAGCCAUGGGCAGGUUGAAGGUUGGGUAACACUAACUGGAGGACCGAACCGACUAAUGUUGAAAAAUUAGCGGAUGACCUGUGGCUGGGGGUGAAAGGCCAAUCAAACCGGGAGAUAGCUGGUUCUCCCCGAAAGCUAUUUAGGUAGCGCCUCGUGAAUUCAUCUCCGGGGGUAGAGCACUGUUUCGGCUAGGGGGCCAUCCCGGCUUACCAACCCGAUGCAAACUGCGAAUACCGGAGAAUGUUAUCACGGGAGACACACGGCGGGUGCUAACGUCCGUCGUGAAGAGGGAAACAACCCAGACCGCCAGCUAAGGUCCCAAAGUCAUGGUUAAGUGGGAAACGAUGUGGGAAGGCCCAGACAGCCAGGAUGUUGGCUUAGAAGCAGCCAUCAUUUAAAGAAAGCGUAAUAGCUCACUGGUCGAGUCGGCCUGCGCGGAAGAUGUAACGGGGCUAAACCAUGCACCGAAGCUGCGGCAGCGACGCUGAUGCGUUGUUGGGUAGGGGAGCGUUCUGUAAGCCUGCGAAGGUGGCCUGUGAGGGUUGCUGGAGGUAUCAGAAGUGCGAAUGCUGACAUAAGUAACGAUAAAGCGGGUGAAAAGCCCGCUCGCCGGAAGACCAAGGGUUCCUGUCCAACGUUAAUCGGGGCAGGGUGAGUCGACCCCUAAGGCGAGGCCGAAAGGCGUAGUCGAUGGGAAACGGGUUAAUAUUCCCGUACUUGGUGUUACUGCGAAGGGGGGACGGAGAAGGCUAUGUUGGCCGGGCGACGGUUGUCCCGGUUUAAGCGUGUAGGUGUGUGUUCCAGGUAAAUCCGGUUCACUUUAACACUGAGGCGUGAUGACGAGGCACUACGGUGCUGAAGCAACAAAUGCCCUGCUUCCAGGAAAAGCCUCUAAGCAUCAGGUAACAUCAAAUCGUACCCCAAACCGACACAGGUGGUCAGGUAGAGAAUACCAAGGCGCUUGAGAGAACUCGGGUGAAGGAACUAGGCAAAAUGGUGCCGUAACUUCGGGAGAAGGCACGCUGACACGUAGGUGAAGUGAUUUACUCAUGGAGCUGAAGUCAGUCGAAGAUACCAGCUGGCUGCAACUGUUUAUUAAAAACACAGCACUGUGCAAACACGAAAGUGGACGUAUACGGUGUGACGCCUGCCCGGUGCCGGAAGGUUAAUUGAUGGGGUCAGCGCAAGCGAAGCUCCUGAUCGAAGCCCCGGUAAACGGCGGCCGUAACUAUAACGGUCCUAAGGUAGCGAAAUUCCUUGUCGGGUAAGUUCCGACCUGCACGAAUGGCGUAAUGAUGGCCAGGCUGUCUCCACCCGAGACUCAGUGAAAUUGAACUCGCUGUGAAGAUGCAGUGUACCCGCGGCAAGACGGAAAGACCCCGUGAACCUUUACUAUAGCUUGACACUGAACAUUGAGCCUUGAUGUGUAGGAUAGGUGGGAGGCUUUGAAGUGUGGACGCCAGUCUGCAUGGAGCCGACCUUGAAAUACCACCCUUUAAUGUUUGAUGUUCUAACGUGGACCCGUGAUCCGGGUUGCGGACAGUGUCUGGUGGGUAGUUUGACUGGGGCGGUCUCCUCCUAAAGAGUAACGGAGGAGCACGAAGGUUGGCUAAUCCUGGUCGGACAUCAGGAGGUUAGUGCAAUGGCAUAAGCCAGCUUGACUGCGAGCGUGACGGCGCGAGCAGGUGCGAAAGCAGGUCAUAGUGAUCCGGUGGUUCUGAAUGGAAGGGCCAUCGCUCAACGGAUAAAAGGUACUCCGGGGAUAACAGGCUGAUACCGCCCAAGAGUUCAUAUCGACGGCGGUGUUUGGCACCUCGAUGUCGGCUCAUCACAUCCUGGGGCUGAAGUAGGUCCCAAGGGUAUGGCUGUUCGCCAUUUAAAGUGGUACGCGAGCUGGGUUUAGAACGUCGUGAGACAGUUCGGUCCCUAUCUGCCGUGGGCGCUGGAGAACUGAGGGGGGCUGCUCCUAGUACGAGAGGACCGGAGUGGACGCAUCACUGGUGUUCGGGUUGUCAUGCCAAUGGCACUGCCCGGUAGCUAAAUGCGGAAGAGAUAAGUGCUGAAAGCAUCUAAGCACGAAACUUGCCCCGAGAUGAGUUCUCCCUGAGACUUUAGGUCUCCUGAAGGAACGUUGAAGACGACGACGUUGAUAGGCCGGGUGUGUAAGCGCAGCGAUGCGUUGAGCUAACCGGUACUAAUGAACCGUGAGGCUUAACCUUACA